UUUUGUUCUCUGAUUGGAUGAUGAUAUCUUUGCAAAAUCUUCGGUAAUGUGGUUAGUUUCUCACAAGGAUUUCCACUGUUAAUUAUUUUAAAAACACGUUCAAAUAAUGUGGGCUGAUGGUUUCAACAAAAGCAUAUACCAUUAAUUAACAACCUUUUAACUUAGACAGUAGGCCUGUCUUUAAUAGUUUAUAAGUUAUCAUUAAAAAUCAAUUCACCUAAGAGAAAAUGAAUGGGAUUUUUACUUCCAGAAAUGGACAGUUGCACUCUAUUUGAGCAUGUUGCAGGUAGGAAUUUUCAAACAAACAAUCUUUUGAUGGCAUCACAUUGACACAACAGGGUAACCAACUUACAAAUGUCUUACAGUUGUAAUAAUAAACUAGGAUAGUUUAAUUAACAUCGAAAAACUACACCCCACUUUAGGUUGUUAUCUGAACAUUAUAGUUCAAUGUAAUGCCACACAUGUCAUGAACCCCUGAGAAACAAAUGUACUGAAACAUGAAAUGUUUUCUAAUCAUGAUCAUAACCAUAACUUUUUAGUCAUCACAGUAAGUCACGGUGAGUCAGUGUGUACUCACAGAAGGAGAUAUUGUUUGUGACCUAAUAUUUGACUAAUUAAACAACAAAAAAAAAUACAAUUAAAGCAGACAGCUGAAAAGCAGAUAAACUAGCUCGACUCAACCUACAGGUUCAGGUUAUUGAAACACCUUUUUUCUAUUUAUCAUCUCUUCUUGUGUGGAAAUCACACACACAACAGCUGACCCGUGACACUUAGCGGCCUGCUAACACACAAAAAGCCGCUCUCUCUUUCUUACACACGACUAUUAUGUUUAUGAUUGCUAUAAGAGCAGGUGAUAGAGACAGGUGUGUUUUCCUCUGUUUAUAGGGGCUAAUAAAAAAUACAUGAGACUGUGAAAAGCACAAAGUAGUAUUUAAGCAUACACACACAUCCACUAUCCACAAAUAAAACUUGCGUAUGUGUGUCAGAGGGCUAGAUGUGCGUAGACUUAAAAGUCUAAAUGAAGUGCAGAGUGGAGGAAUUAAACAGAAACAAAAGGAGAGCAGGAAGAGACAGAGUGACAGGAAGAAAGAAAGAGAGAGAGAGGGAAGAGAAAAGGAGAGAAAAAGAGAUGGGGGCAGUAAAAAAUUAACCCUUUCCUUCCCAGAACUUAGCUUACUCAUUUAAAAACUCAAAUGACUCUCACGGGGAAAGUACCAAGCACAGGCCAGAAAGGAGGUUACACACGCAAAUGACGCUUAUACAGUACAUUUAUGUGUUGCAAACGUUAAAAAGAAUUUAAUUCUAGAGAAAUUAAAUUAGUCAAGUGUAGUCCUGGCAAACGAUGCAAGUGCAAAUGUGGUCAUACCAGUCACAAUGGGCCUCAUAGGGCUUUAUGUGUUGGGUGUAAAUAGUGCUUGUGUAACAUGCACACAUAAAAACAGAUUAUGUUCAAUGACUUUAAACGUCAUUUGCACCUCCUGCUAAAACUUAGAUGCAGUCUUUGCUUUUUAACAAUGCAAGUCAAAAGUUACAUGAAGACUCUAAAAUUGUAUGCUGGUUUCUGCCUGUUGGGACAUUUUAUUGGGUUGAGUAGUUUUGUGUCACCCACUGCUGGGUUACAUUUCACUGACAGUACCUGCUGGGUAGUAACUCACUGCUGGUUUAAAAAUGAAAACACGGUUUGUCAACGGUCAUUUUGUCCUCCUGUCCUGAGAGAAAACGUCCUGAGGUGAUAUUCGUGAAUAGCGUUGAGGUUCGCUUGCACUGCAGACCGAGUGACAGACGCGACGCCGCCAUAUUAAAUUAUCAACGUCAGCGACGCGUUUCGAAACGACAGGUUUAAAGGAUGCCAGAAGGGCACUGAAACUGCUCCUGUCACUUUCUGAUGUUUUAUGUUUUAAUAUACUUGCCAUCAAAUAAAAAUACUGUUAUGUUUGUUUAAUGCCGAUUCAUUCUCCUGUAAACAGACAAUAGUUUAUCAAUAUAAAUAUAUAUAUAUUUUUUUUAAUUAUAUAAAUUCACUAAAUACUGUUUACAUUUUACCAUUUAUGAGGUAAAAUUAGCUCGCUUUUAUGAUC
This is a long non-coding RNA of Megalobrama amblycephala (Wuchang bream), 2078 nucleotides long. RefSeq lists it as uncharacterized. The transcript is spliced from 3 exons. NCBI's taxonomy places the organism in Eukaryota, Metazoa, Chordata, Actinopteri, Cypriniformes, Xenocyprididae. The record is from RefSeq and is a predicted model, not a curated record.